RNAcentral lists this ribosomal RNA (502 nucleotides) under uncultured soil bacterium. Its description in RNAcentral is "bacterial SSU rRNA". It matches the Rfam family "Bacterial small subunit ribosomal RNA", at positions 26 to 522 of the family's 1533-position model. The record is from RNAcentral.
AGAUUGAACGCUGGCGGAAUGCUUUACACAUGCAAGUCGUACGGCAGCACGGGGGCAACCCUGGUGGCGAGUGGCGAACGGGUGAGUAAUACAUCGGAACGUGCCCAGUCGUGGGGGAUAACUACGCGAAAGCGUAGCUAAUACCGCAUACGAUCUACGGAUGAAAGCGGGGGAUCGCAAGACCUCGCGCGAUUGGAGCGGCCGAUGGGCAGAUUAGGUAGUUGGUGGGGUAAAGGCUCACCAAGCCGUCGAUCUGUAGCUGGUCUGAGAGGACGACCAGCCACACUGGGACUGAGACACGGCCCAGACUCCUACGGGAGGCAGCAGUGGGGAAUUUUGGACAAUGGGCGCAAGCCUGAUCCAGCCAUUCCGCGUGCAGGAUGAAGGCCCUCGGGUUGUAAACUGCUUUUUGUACGGAACGAAAAGCCUUCUUCUAAUACAGGAGGUCAUGACGGUACCGUAAGAAUAAGCACCGGCUAACUACGUGCCAGCAGCCGCGUAA